RNAcentral lists this unclassified non-coding RNA (811 nucleotides) under Utricularia asplundii. Its description in RNAcentral is "partial contains tRNA-Leu (trnL) gene and trnL-trnF spacer region". The record is from RNAcentral. Lineage: Eukaryota; Viridiplantae; Streptophyta; Magnoliopsida; Lamiales; Lentibulariaceae.
AGGUUAGCUAUCCGACCAUUCCUAGCGUAGUAACCCAUACUCAUUUUCUUAUUUUUGUUGAUGUCUGGGGUCUAUGUCAAUUAAAGGAAAAGGGGAGAUUACAAAUUUUUCUACAAGUACUUUUGAUGUUGAAUCAUUUAAAUCGGUACUCUUUGCUAAAUUUGGAUGUGUAUUCUAUAUCACAUCGGCGAAGAGAAAGUCAUUUAUGUCCACCUACGUUUGUCAAAGAAUAAGAAAAAGAAAGCAAUUUGUAACCGAACGGGGGGGGGGGUAGGAUAAAGAUUUUGGAGUAAAAUAGGCUUUUUGGGGGAUAGAGGGACUUGAACCCUCACGAUUUAAAAAUCAACGGAUUUUCCUCUUACUAUAAAUUUAAUUGCUGUCGGUAUUGACGUGUAGAAGGGGACUCUAUCUUUAUUCUUGUCCGAUUGAUCAGUUCUUGAAAAGGUUUAUCGGACUAUGGAGGGAAUGAUUUGAUGAAUAAUCAUCAGAUUUUUUCUUCAAUGUCGAAUGAAUUCACACCAAUUCUUCUAUUUUUCAUAUAAAAAAAUACAUCUAGAGAUUCGGGACAUCAUUACUCAUUUGAUAUAGUAUUCAAUAGAUAGGAUCCUUUCUGAUGUUUAGGUGGAAAGAUUCCUCUACCGGUGCCCCCAUUUGCUAGAACAGCUUCCAUUGAGUCUCUGGACCUAUCCUUUUUUUUUUCGGUUUCUGAACCUGUCUUUUGAGAAAACAGGAUUUGGCUCAGGAUUGCCCAUUUUUUUUAAUUCCGGGGUUUCCCUGAAUUUGAAAGUUAUCACUUAGUAGGUUUCCAUAC